CCUACGGGAGGCAGCAGUGGGGGAUAUUGCACAAUGGGGGGAACCCUGAUGCAGCGACGCCGCGUGGGUGAAGAAGCGCCUCGGCGCGUAAAGCCCUGUCAGCAUGGAAGCAAAUGACGGUACCUGAAGAAGAAGCCCCGGCUAACUACGUGCCAGCAGCCGCGGUAAUACGGAGGGGGCAAGCGUUAGCCGGAUUCACUGGGUGUAAGGGGGGCGCAUACGGCGAUGCAAGCGAGGGGGGAAAGCCCGGGGCCCAACCCCGGGCCUGCCCUUGGAACUGCGUGGCUGGAGUGCAGGAGGGGCAGGCGGAAUUCCUGGUGGAGCGGUGAAAUGCGUAGAUAUCAGGAGGAACACCGGUGGCGAAGGCGGCCUGCUGGACUGCAACUGACGUUGAGGCCCGAAAGCGUGGGGAGCAAACAGGAUUAGAUACCCCUGUAGUC
This 440-nucleotide ribosomal RNA is filed under the name uncultured bacterium. Its description in RNAcentral is "partial 16S ribosomal RNA". It matches the Rfam family "Bacterial small subunit ribosomal RNA", at positions 338 to 795 of the family's 1533-position model. The record is from RNAcentral.